RNAcentral lists this transfer RNA (72 nucleotides) under Camelus bactrianus (Bactrian camel). It matches the Rfam family "tRNA". From Rfam's summary of the family: Transfer RNA (tRNA) molecules are approximately 80 nucleotides in length. Their secondary structure includes four short double-helical elements and three loops (D, anti-codon, and T loops). The record is from Rfam by way of RNAcentral. Lineage: Eukaryota; Metazoa; Chordata; Mammalia; Artiodactyla; Camelidae. RNAcentral also lists the same sequence under 2 other names.
GAGGGUAUAGCUCAGUGGUAGAGUGUGUGCCUGGCAUGCAUGAGGUCCUGGGUUCAAUCCCCAGUACCUCCA